CCUACGGGUGGCUGCAGUGGGGAAUAUUGGACAAUGGGCGAAAGCCUGAUCCAGCCAUGCCGCGUGUGUGAAGAAGGCCUUCGGGUUGUAAAGCACUUUCAGUGGGGAAGAAAGCCUUGGGGCUAAUACCCUCGAGGAAGGACAUCACCCACAGAAGAAGCACCGGCUAACUCCGUGCCAGCAGCCGCGGUAAUACGGAGGGUGCGAGCGUUAAUCGGAAUUACUGGGCGUAAAGCGCGCGUAGGCGGUCUGAUAAGCCGGUUGUGAAAGCCCCGGGCUCAACCUGGGAACGGCAUCCGGAACUGUCAGGCUAGAGUGCAGGAGAGGAAGGUAGAAUUCCCGGUGUAGCGGUGAAAUGCGUAGAGAUCGGGAGGAAUACCAGUGGCGAAGGCGGCCUUCUGGACUGACACUGACGCUGAGGUGCGAAAGCGUGGGUAGCAAACAGGAUUAUAUACCCUAGUAGUC
This 465-nucleotide ribosomal RNA is filed under the name Vreelandella stevensii. RNAcentral's name for it is "partial 16S ribosomal RNA". It matches the Rfam family "Bacterial small subunit ribosomal RNA", at positions 338 to 795 of the family's 1533-position model. Lineage: Bacteria; Pseudomonadati; Pseudomonadota; Gammaproteobacteria; Oceanospirillales; Halomonadaceae. The record is from RNAcentral.